Molecule: ribosomal RNA, 485 nt
Filed under: uncultured bacterium
Lineage: Bacteria
Description: partial 16S ribosomal RNA
Rfam family: Bacterial small subunit ribosomal RNA
Source: RNAcentral
GACGAACGCUGGCGGCGUGCUUAACACAUGCAAGUCGAACGCUGAACCCGCUUCGGUGGGGGAUGAGUGGCGAACGGGUGAGUAACACGUGGGCAACCUGCCCCCGGCUCUGGGAUAACUCCAAGAAAUUGGGGCUAAUACCGGAUGUGACCGCUGGCCGCAUGGUCUGGUGGUGGAAAGGGUUUCCGGCUGGGGAUGGGCCCGCGGCCUAUCAGCUAGUUGGUGGGGUAAAGGCCUACCAAGGCGACGAUCCGUAACUGGUCUGAGAGGAUGAUCAGUCACACUGGAACUGAGACACGGUCCAGACUCCUACGGGAGGCAGCAGUGGGGAAUAUUGGACAAUGGGCGAAAGCCUGAUCCAGCCAUGCCGCGUGUGUGAAGAAGGUCUUCGGAUUGUAAAGCACUUUAAGUUGGGAGGAAGGGCAGUAAGUUAAUACCUUGCUGUUUUGACGUUACCAACAGAAUAAGCACCGGCUAACUUCGUG